Non-coding RNA from Ixodes scapularis (black-legged tick), 73 nucleotides. Lineage: Eukaryota; Metazoa; Arthropoda; Arachnida; Ixodida; Ixodidae. The record is from Rfam.
GCCUCGGUAGCUCCGAGGCGAGAGCGCCGGCUUACGGAUCCCCAGGUGGCGGGUUUGAAUCCCGACCGAGGUG